CUAGUAUUGACUGGAUCUCUUCCUUGACUCCCUUCAGCUGAUGGGUGAUGUUGGCACAGACGGUUCCAGAAGGCUUUAGUCACAUGUCCAGAGCUUUGAUUACUUAAAAUUCGUGUGGUUGGUGAAAUGAACCAAGUCACUGCAAACAGAAGUCUUACUAGGAAAGUCCACAUUGGAUCAGGGGUUUAUGAGGUCCUUUCAAGCUCUGACAUUGAUUUCUGCAACUGGGCGUUAACUGGGCCUGGGCCUUAGAAGAGUUAAGUUGAACUGCCAAAGGCCAGUCGGUGAAAGUAGCAAGGCUAGGAUUUGAACCCAGGACAGUGUGCUUUCAGCACUGCAAUGGCUGGAGACUGUAAGAUGACAAAUAUGGAGACUUUUCAACCACGGAGGAAGACAGAACGCCGUAGCUGAAUGAAAAGGAGAUUAAAGCAAUAAGGAAAGUAGCUUUCUGCCCCUUGACAGAAGACGUGUGUCCUAUAGAGAAGCUUCUCAG
This is a long non-coding RNA of Gorilla gorilla gorilla (western lowland gorilla), 493 nucleotides long. RefSeq lists it as uncharacterized. NCBI's taxonomy places the organism in Eukaryota, Metazoa, Chordata, Mammalia, Primates, Hominidae. The record is from RefSeq and is a predicted model, not a curated record. The transcript has 4 exons.